This 877-nucleotide ribosomal RNA is filed under the name Pseudomonas sp. RNAcentral's name for it is "bacterial SSU rRNA". It matches the Rfam family "Bacterial small subunit ribosomal RNA", at positions 78 to 951 of the family's 1533-position model. Lineage: Bacteria; Pseudomonadati; Pseudomonadota; Gammaproteobacteria; Pseudomonadales; Pseudomonadaceae. The record is from RNAcentral.
GCUUGCUCCCUGAUUUAGCGGCGGACGGGUGAGUAAUGCCUAGGAAUCUGCCUGGUAGUGGGGGAUAACGUUCCGAAAGGAACGCUAAUACCGCAUACGUCCUACGGGAGAAAGCAGGGGACCUUCGGGCCUUGCGCUAUCAGAUGAGCCUAGGUCGGAUUAGCUAGUUGGUGAGGUAAUGGCUCACCAAGGCGACGAUCCGUAACUGGUCUGAGAGGAUGAUCAGUCACACUGGAACUGAGACACGGUCCAGACUCCUACGGGAGGCAGCAGUGGGGAAUAUUGGACAAUGGGCGAAAGCCUGAUCCAGCCAUGCCGCGUGUGUGAAGAAGGUCUUCGGAUUGUAAAGCACUUUAAGUUGGGAGGAAGGGCAUUAACCUAAUACGUUAGUGUUUUGACGUUACCAACAGAAUAAGCACCGGCUAACUUCGUGCCAGCAGCCGCGGUAAUACGAAGGGUGCAAGCGUUAAUCGGAAUUACUGGGCGUAAAGCGCGCGUAGGUGGUUCGUUAAGUUGGAUGUGAAAGCCCCGGGCUCAACCUGGGAACUGCAUCCAAAACUGGCGAGCUAGAGUACGGUAGAGGGUGGUGGAAUUUCCUGUGUAGCGGUGAAAUGCGUAGAUAUAGGAAGGAACACCAGUGGCGAAGGCGACCACCUGGACUGAUACUGACACUGAGGUGCGAAAGCGUGGGGAGCAAACAGGAUUAGAUACCCUGGUAGUCCACGCCGUAAACGAUGUCAACUAGCCGUUGGAAUCCUUGAGAUUUUAGUGGCGCAGCUAACGCAUUAAGUUGACCGCCUGGGGAGUACGGCCGCAAGGUUAAAACUCAAAUGAAUUGACGGGGGCCCGCACAAGCGGUGGAGCAUGUGGUUUAAUU